UAUAUUUGUUUUUCGUAUUUCGAUUGACAUCCUUCAACGGCAUUACAAAAAAAGAGCAUCCAUCCGCAAAAGCAAACGACGCUUGAUUUCACUGGGUUUCAAGAUGAUUUCGGGGGCAGCACGCCCCACAAAUUCAUUAAUGAUCCCUCCGCAGGUUCACCUACGGAAA
Molecule: unclassified non-coding RNA, 169 nt
Filed under: uncultured fungus
Lineage: Eukaryota; Fungi
Description: sequence contains ITS1
Source: RNAcentral